UAUCAGAUCAUGACAGUGUGGUCGCGUAGAGCAAUCUAGGCAUGGUUCAGUUUUACUUCAAUUUCAUUGACUACGCAACAGACAACUAGCAACGAGGGCACUGAGUUUAUCCGGUGAACCAAAAU
RNAcentral lists this small RNA (125 nucleotides) under Arabidopsis thaliana (thale cress). Its description in RNAcentral is "ATSL090720". Lineage: Eukaryota; Viridiplantae; Streptophyta; Magnoliopsida; Brassicales; Brassicaceae. The record is from RNAcentral.